GUGGUCGUUGCUGACAUAAGCAAAGUUGAGUCUGUUUUUAGCUGCGCUGCAGUAAGGUUCUGAAAAAUUCCUGCUCCAACGAUUUAAAGUGGAAUAGAAAUUUUUGCAUCGAAGCUGUGUCAACUUCAACAGAAAU
Molecule: long non-coding RNA, 136 nt
Organism: Rhagoletis zephyria (snowberry fruit fly)
Lineage: Eukaryota; Metazoa; Arthropoda; Insecta; Diptera; Tephritidae
Source: RefSeq, a predicted model, not a curated record